UAGGAGCACGGCUCUGCUCAUGGUGACAGGGGACAGAGGGGACUGGAGCUGUCUGUGCCCCAAGCACAUCCGUCACCCCACCGUGGGGUUGAUGACCUUGGAGCACCCGUCACUGUUGCAUCCCUGUGUGCUUGGGCAGAGGGAAAAACCUCAGGAGAUGCCCCCUGCACCAGCCCGCAGGUCCCUGCGGACACCAGCCAUGCCCGGACAGCUCUGCGGAAACCCGGCUUGUCCCCGAAGCAUUCGUGGUGUGACCGAAGGGGACACGGAGAACACCCCUGGACUCCAUAGGUGCGUCACCCACCAGCUCUUCUGCAGCCCCAAGCCAUUCCCCGGAGCUCGGGGUUGUCUGCACGGAGCCAAGGACUCGGGGCUGGGAUGCCGAGAGCGCAUGUGAAAUGAUCUUCAAAACUACGGCAGCGCCCAGGAACAUCGCUGGACCCUGAAAACGAUGCUGAGGGUGCCUCGUACGACCGAAAGGUGUCAAAUCCCGCACGGUGACUCCAGGGGGCACAUCAGCCCCGGCCUGGCCCUGCUGUCCCACCACGUUCCACCUUCCAGCAGAAACCUCCGGUGCUGGGGUCCAGCCCCUUCGAGGGUGCGUUGAAUUUUAAGAAGGAAAAAGCUGAGGUAUUACAAAGCCUAAGGAUUUGUCACCAGUUGUGCACUCAGACAUCCACAUUUUGCAGUCUCAGCUUUAUUCUUUGGAGAGCUUUGGAAAAGGGGGUACAGGAUAAAACGUUUUCUGAAAUACUAUCUCGGACAUCUAAAGGAACCAUAUUCCUACCCCUUUGGCUUUAAUUUCCAGCAUUGCUCCAGUGACCACAAGCCCAGAACAAUAUUGUCGCUUGGCUCAAUUUGAAGGAAGCUUUGAAUCUGAGGUUCCUGGUACUCCUGCCCUCACCCCGUGUGAGAACAGCGAUGGCAGCAGGUGAUGGAGCCAGCUGGAAUUCAGCAGGCCCAUAAAGCUGAGAAACUGAAAGAAUAAAAUUAUGAUUCAUAAGAAGUCAAAAGGCACUUUACAGAGAGACAAGAGUGGUCCCAGCACCCGAACCCCAUCCUGUCGGGUGUUCACAUCCCGGCUGCCGUUGCCUGCACAGGACCCUGUGCUUUGCUUGCAACAGAAGGGCAAGAGCAGGCUGGUCGCUUGGGAAUUCAAAGAUUUAAUGGUCAGCGGGUUUAACUGUGGCACUUAGUUACAAAACGCAACGAUUACACGGUGCAGGAACACAUGCAAAUCCUUGCAGUCCAACCCAGCUGGAUUAAACCUUAAAAUAAAGGAAACCCAACCAUCUGCAAGGGCCGGACCCGCGGGUCUCUGCUGGGGGGCAGGUUGUGCUUCACCACGUGCCCUGAGCCGGGGCUCAGCACCGCGGCCGGGCUGCAGGAUGGGCACACGGGUAACUCCCAGUAACUCAAGGGGGAUGAUGUGAAUUGUACAGCAAGCCUUGCCUGCACUCCUGAGUAUGGCUGUUAUUAUGUUUGCCAUCAAUAUUCGUGAAGUCUUCUUAAAAAAAUAAAAAAGCAGCAGCGAAAAUUUUGCUCUAAACCAGAGAACUGUGGUAUCUUCUGGCAGCGCCCAUAGAAGCAGCAGUUUUCUCCUGGUAUAUUUUCACUGUGUAUUUCUCGGAGUGUUGUCCUGAGUUACGAGGACAGUUAUUGAAAAUAGCAAAUUGUCUUGAUACUGCACAUCAUCAUUGUUAUGCUUGGCCACUUCAGGAAAUCAGUUGGUCUUGAUUAACAAUUUGGGUUUUUCCAGCCUAGAUGACCCCUAUGUAUAAGCAAACAUAUAACUUUAGAAGAAAGAGUUGCAUAAAAGCCUCCUUGUCGUUUGUGCGGUGCUUUAUUUGGGUGGACGCACCAAUACACCAAGUGCCAAAAGCCAAAAUUCUGCAGGGUUUUUCCCCCGUUACUGCUGUAAGGGUAUCUUGUCUUUUAUACCUGUCACAGCACCACUUGUUAGCCCUUCCCAGGCAGCGCGCUGAUUCGCACAAACGACUGUAGGUGUUUUGCAGGUCAGUGGGGCAGCGAGGGGCGAGGAGGAGGAGGGUGUGCGUGCCGCACCGCCAGGCUGCCCGUGCCGCUGCCGGCCAGGGCUGUGCCGCUGGCACCGCGGAGGCUGCUCUGCCUCUGAUUAAAGCCAGCAGAGGGGAAAGAACGGGCAGAAGUGGGCCCGUGCCUUCUGUCGCCGCCUCCAGCCGCGGCCCCGCAGCAGCCUGCCAACAGGGCACCGCUCUGCCAGUUGUAAAUUUUAAUUGGCCAUCUGGGGAAAGCACAAACCACUGACUAGAGAUUAAUCAGUAAAUUAACCCAGGCAUAAUACACAUUUCCCAGCGGGGCCCGGGCUGCUGGAGGCUGGGGCGGAGCAGGCGGGGAUGCGGGAGGACCGGGGCAGGGAUGCUGUUAUUGCUUACUGCCGAACAUCUUCCCCGCGUCCCGAAAUUCCCUUCGGCGUGACCUUGGCAGUGCCCCUGAUUUGUAUGGCAGGUGCAGAGAGGUUUCCCUGCGAGCGCUCGACACAGAUGGCACAGGUACGGCUGCCGCCGCAGGAAGGCUUGAUGGAUCAGUGGAUGUGACAACUUCCCUCUGGUGAGCUGUUGGCUCGGCACCGCCGUGAGGAACAGUCAUACCUGCGGCUGUGCCCGCUGCCAUCGCAGGGCUCGGCCUUUAAACAGGGCUGGGGAGAAAGGAGCAUCACCAAUGCCGUGGGGCGCAAGCUGUCCUGUCCAAUGUUAUCAUUCUACAUUUUAAGAACGACACCCACACCCCAGCCUUCCCAAGCCCCAUCCCUAGUUAGUGUUCUGGUUAGCAAUGAGAUCAAGCUUAUCUUUAUAGAUAUCUGAUCGACUGAAUAAAAGCAAGCGCUGCGCUGGGUGAAUGGCACCCACACACUCCGGCUCUUAAUUUCCCCAGGACAGAAACCUUUGCCCAGUUAGUAAAGUGCUUCGGGAUAUUUGCAGAAAACACGUCUGUCACAGCUUGCUGCCGGCGGGGCCAGAACG
This is a long non-coding RNA of Columba livia (rock pigeon), 3002 nucleotides long. RefSeq lists it as uncharacterized. Lineage: Eukaryota; Metazoa; Chordata; Aves; Columbiformes; Columbidae. The transcript is spliced from 3 exons. The record is from RefSeq and is a predicted model, not a curated record.